RNAcentral lists this ribosomal RNA (1146 nucleotides) under Triticum aestivum (bread wheat). Its description in RNAcentral is "partial small subunit ribosomal RNA". The record is from RNAcentral. Lineage: Eukaryota; Viridiplantae; Streptophyta; Magnoliopsida; Poales; Poaceae.
AUGAAAGAAAAUCCAUCUAUUAUUGUGACCAUUCUCUUAGCAUAUCUUAUUCUGGCCAUCGGUGGAAAAGAAGUAAAGUGUAUCAGACGAGAAGAAAAUACUAGUGGGGUCCCAUUGAAUCAAAAAGUCAAUAAGACUAUUCUGGUUGAUGGAGGAGAUGUUUAUGACUGCAUCGAUGUGAAUCUACAACCAGCCUUGAGCCAUCCACUACUAAAAGACCACAAAAUCCAGAUGGAACCAAGCUCUUUCCCGCUGAGUUCUACCAAAUCUCCAUCGAUGGAAGUCAUCCCACAAGCCCAAUUGGCCUUGAUUGAGUGCCCUACAGGAACAAUUCCAAUAUUGCGCAACAACAGAAGGGUCCACAUGCCAGUAGAAACUAUUGAUAAAGUGAUUACCAAUGAAGAACAUGAGGUUGCAGGAGUAGAGUAUUUUGAUGUGCUAUAUGGAACGCGGGCUAAAAUAAAUAUCUAUAAUCCUAUGGUGAAGAAUAAUAGUAAGGAUCUAAGUGCAUCGUGGAUACAAAUUAAUAAGAUAAUAAAAGCAGGUGUUGCAGAUGGGAUAGGGGCUGGUUCUUGGGUAUAUCCAAGCUACAGUUGUGACAAGUUUGCUAGGUUUCAUGUUGCUUGGGUUGAUGGCUUAAAGACUUGCCCUGAUCAUGAUUGUGGGACUUUCGUGCAAGUUAGCUCAAGUGUUGGUAUAGGAGGAAAACUUAAACCAGUUUCUGUCUAUAAAGGACCACAAUACAUGAUAGAUGUUACUAUUUUCAAGGAUCCAAUGACUAGACAUUGGUGGGUGGCUUAUGGUCCACAAAACAUACAUAUUGGAUACUGGCCAAGGGAAAUUUUCCAUUUCAUGAAGGAUGAAUGUAAUUAUGCAUUAUGGGGUGGAUAUGUUCAAGGUCCGACGGCGUCAUCAGACUCUCCACAAAUGGGUAGUGGCCAUUUUGCUUCCGAAGGACUUGGAAAAGCAGCAUUUGUAAGAAAUAUCGAAAUUUUAAAUAAGGAAAACAAGUAUGUUAUUCCAGAUGACAGGAAAUUUGGGUAUGUCGCCACCAAUUUAUCCAAAUAUACUGCAAAUAGUUAUGUUGAUGGACAUAGCCACUUUGGUGUGCAUACUUACUAUGGUGGACCUGGUGGUUUUGUUUGA